RNAcentral lists this long non-coding RNA (1123 nucleotides) under Homo sapiens (human). Its description in RNAcentral is "non-protein coding LINC02526:5". Lineage: Eukaryota; Metazoa; Chordata; Mammalia; Primates; Hominidae. The record is from RNAcentral.
GCUGGGCUGGCCCUGUGACUGUUUUGAGCAAUGCAUACAAUGUGGUGAAAAUUAUUUCUGGGACUCCUGAGUCCAGGCACCAAGAUCAGGAAGCUUCUCCUCUUGUAUUUAGGGGAAGCUGGCCACAUUGUAAGAAGUCGGACUAUGCUGAGACUGUCAUGAUGACAGAAAACCCAAGCUAGCCAGGUGGAGAGAUCACACAGAAAGAGAUGCCUGGCCAGCUGUUACCUGAUAUGCCAUCAUGUAAGUAAAAAGUCCACCUUGGAUGGUCCAGCUCAUAGAUGCCAUGUACAGCAGAGGUGAGCCAUUCCUGCCAAGCCCUGCCCAAUUGCAGAAUUGUGAGUAAAUAAAUAAUUACUAUUGUUUUAAGCCACUAUAUUUUGGGAUGAGUUGUUACAUAGCCAUUGAAAACCAAAACACCUCUCUCCACCAAGUCAUUUCCAUCACUUCCUUCAAGACGGAGGCCAAGUCACCUACAUUGGAAACGUACCUGACAAGCUCAAUACAGCUCAUCUUAUUUUAGAAUUUGGUAGUUUGGAUUAUGCAGUUCUAUGCCUGCUUUUGGUCAGUUUCAUACAUUUACCUAUCCCUAAAAUUAAUAAUGACAAUGGCCAAUGCUGAGCAUCAUGGAUCAGGCACUGUGGCUGGGAAUAAUGUUAUUCCUAUUUUACAGAUGAGGAAACUGCGGCACUGAGCGGUUAAGCACCCUAUCCAAAGGUGGUUCUGUAUAAGUACCCUUCCCAAUGUCCUUGUCCCUCUAUUGCUUUGGUGAUAUGCACUUUGAACUUGAAGUGCUAAAAAGGAAGCUGAUGUGGAGACAACAGAAUGGCAUCUGUUUUGCAGGCAAGAAGAUAAAGGAAGGACAGAGGUUAAACUAAGAGAUGCAGAAAUUAUAGUAUAUCAGCCAGGUGUGGUGGCUCAUGCCUGUAAACCCAGCCCUUUGGGAAGCCGAUGCGGGCGGAUCACGAGGAUAUUAAUCCAAGGAACAAUACUGACGAAUUUCACGGACAAAAUACUAAGAAGGAAAUCAAGUGAAUCAAGCGGAGAAGAAAGACAGUGGAAAAAGAAAACUGAAAAUAAAAAUAUUUUCUAGACCCCUUGAAAUAAAGUUUGAAAAACCACA